Molecule: ribosomal RNA, 501 nt
Filed under: uncultured bacterium
Lineage: Bacteria
Description: bacterial SSU rRNA
Rfam family: Bacterial small subunit ribosomal RNA
Source: RNAcentral
GAUGAACGCUAGCUACAGGCUUAACACAUGCAAGUCGAGGGGAAACGAUAUUGGAAGCUUGCUUCCGAUAGGCGUCGACCGGCGCACGGGUGAGUAACGCGUAUCCAACCUGCCCAUCACUUGGGGAUAACCUUGCGAAAGUAAGACUAAUACCCAAUGACGUCUCUAGAAGACAUCUGAAGGAGAUUAAAGAUUUAUCGGUGAUGGAUGGGGAUGCGUCUGAUUAGCUUGUUGGCGGGGUAACGGCCCACCAAGGCGACGAUCAGUAGGGGUUCUGAGAGGAAGGUCCCCCACAUUGGAACUGAGACACGGUCCAAACUCCUACGGGAGGCAGCAGUGAGGAAUAUUGGUCAAUGGACGAGAGUCUGAACCAGCCAAGUAGCGUGCAGGAUGACGGCCCUAUGGGUUGUAAACUGCUUUUAUAAGGGAAUAAAGUGGGAGUCGUGACUCUUUUUGCAUGUACCUUAUGAAUAAGGACCGGCUAAUUCCGUGCCAGCAGCC